UUCUUGAUGCUGUUUACUGUUCCCCACAUUGAAGAGUUGGAGACGCCUUAGACUGCAGCAGAGUCCAGCUGGAUCUGCUGCCUACUGCUUUGGGCUAUAUGACCGGACUAGAACUUGGCUUCAGUCAUAAAGAGGAGUUGUCUUAUGCUGCCGACUAAAUUGCUGCAGGAAGAUGGCUACAAGCUCAAGGACUACUUCAGAAGACAUGCUGCUUAUUGUAUCAGCAACUGAAUAGAUAACUUCUGUGUUCAUCUAAUUAUGACUAGUUUGUAUUGACUUUUCAACCCGUUUCCUGACUUGGAUGUUUAUUUCAUAAUAAAUUGUUCAUAAAUUCAA
This is a long non-coding RNA of Anoplopoma fimbria (sablefish), 336 nucleotides long. RefSeq lists it as uncharacterized. NCBI's taxonomy places the organism in Eukaryota, Metazoa, Chordata, Actinopteri, Perciformes, Anoplopomatidae. The transcript is spliced from 3 exons. The record is from RefSeq and is a predicted model, not a curated record.